This 328-nucleotide long non-coding RNA is filed under the name Phoenix dactylifera (date palm). RNAcentral describes it as "long non-coding RNA (PDAC_LNC015954)". The record is from RNAcentral. Lineage: Eukaryota; Viridiplantae; Streptophyta; Magnoliopsida; Arecales; Arecaceae.
UAUCUUAUGCACACAAUAACACGAAGCCACAUAAAAUUUCAUAAUAAAAAUAAAUAGUUUCAUUUACUAAUGUCAUAACAUUAGUGAAGAAGUUGGAACAGUACAGAGCUUCUAAAAUCUGAUUAUUACAUAACAUUUUCAAUUACCCCAACCCUGAAUAACAUCAAGCUCCCUGCUCCUAGUGGUCUUAAUCAUCUGUAGGAAAAAAAGUAGAUAAAAAGGUAUGAGCUACACAGCUCAGUAAGUAACCAGGUACUAUCUUAUUGGAUCAAGUACAAUUAUGCCAAUGCAGUGAUUAAAAAGCCAACAGUUGAUGUAAAAUAAAACA